GAAUCCCAUACUAAAUCCUAAUCAGUGAGAGUUCCUUCUGAGUCAGAGAACUGGGGAUGGUGUUUGGUACAAAGACCAGACGAGGUUCUUCUACAGAGCUAAGGUUUUGGGGAGCUGGGAUGGACGAACUCCUAGAAUUGCUAGAGGAGGAAGUGCUAGAAGAUAUUUUGAAUCAAACAAAAAUCCUAAAAACCCUAAAAAAAUUGGGAGAAAUAAGAAACAGAAAGUUCGUGAAAAACUGAAU
This 244-nucleotide long non-coding RNA is filed under the name Elaeis guineensis (African oil palm). Its description in RNAcentral is "long non-coding RNA (EGUI_LNC058682)". Lineage: Eukaryota; Viridiplantae; Streptophyta; Magnoliopsida; Arecales; Arecaceae. The record is from RNAcentral.